AUGCACACUCUGUGCUGGAUAAAGACCUCUGUGAAGGGCAGCAGCAGAUGUGUAUGCGAAGUCCUGGGGGAAAUGCAGGGAGAAGAGGACCAAGCAAACUGCUGGAAGAACAGAGAGCGCAUUUGUUCUCUUGAGAUUCAGCAGCCGGGCAAGGAAUGUUGGCUCCAACUAGUCCAUGGACAGAAAAGGCCAUUCUUGAACCUUCCGGGAAAUCAUGCAGGAUGGAUAGCCUGAAUAGCACUCAGGUCAACUAAAAGAGAGUUGCUGCUGUAUAAUUUCAGCCCAUGUGCAGGUGUAAGCAUUAACAUUAAAGAUGGAAGGUCUGUAUUGGCAUUUUUGGUCACUAUAUUUUAAAGGAAAUUUAGUCUUCUUGUCCAACAUCACAGAAGGAGAGGCAGAGGAGAGAGUAGAAUGAAGGUUCUAGGUUCUAGGUUCUGUUUCUUUCAUUAACAAUUUUCAAAUGGUUAUUGAGCUAAACUCAGUUAAUAUGAAGCUCAUUUAAUAUGAUGAUCAUUUGAUAUGAACCUGGGGUCCUACUAUUAGGAUCUAUUAUUAGGAUUCUAGUUAAUAGGAUUUGUGUUCAUGUAUAGAGAAAAUUCUCUUGAAGUUAUAAAUGUAGUCCUACUACAUUAUGUAUGUUAAUGUUAUAUAGCAUUAACACCCAAUAGCUGAAUUAGUAUACUGUACAACAUUAUAUAUCCUUUCCAAAUGUCCUGUAGAAACUAAAUAUUCUAUUUUUUUUUAUAAUGUCAAGCUCCUCCUACUUUUUACUCCUGCCAAAGGAAGGAAAAAAAGGAGAGACAAAACAGAUGGAUACAUUUUAGUUCAUUCAUGGAAUUCAGAUUAAAGUAGCUGCUAAUUCCUAAUAAAUCAAGCAUUCUGUCCUUUUAUUUUCA
Molecule: long non-coding RNA, 896 nt
Filed under: Vulpes vulpes (red fox)
Lineage: Eukaryota; Metazoa; Chordata; Mammalia; Carnivora; Canidae
Description: lncRNA (ENSVVUG00000000549.1)
Source: RNAcentral